RNAcentral lists this microRNA precursor (101 nucleotides) under Ixodes scapularis (black-legged tick). RNAcentral's name for it is "microRNA isc-mir-96 precursor". Its record names the gene isc-mir-96. Lineage: Eukaryota; Metazoa; Arthropoda; Arachnida; Ixodida; Ixodidae. The record is from miRBase by way of RNAcentral.
GUCAAACUCGCCUUCCGUUUUUUGGCACUAGCACAUUUUUGUGUUUCGAUGCUACGACAAAAAUUGUGGUAGUGUCAAGCAAUAGGAAGAGUCUGCAAUGC